UUCUGGUUGAUCCUGCCGGAGGCUACCGCUAUUGGAGUUCGAUUAAGCCAUGCGAGUCGCGAGAAAUUAGAUUCUCGGCGUACCGCUCAGUAACACGUGGGUAACCUGCCCUAUGCUGGAUAAUAACCUCGGGAAACUGAGAAUAAUGAUCCAUAGUUCACUACGCCUGGAACGGUGAGUGGAUGAAAGCUCCGGCGGCAUAGGAUGGGCCUGCGGCGUAUCAGGUUGUAGGGGGUGUAACGUACCCUCUAGCCCUCUACGCGUACGGGUGUUGGGAGACAUAGCCCGGAGAUGGAUUCUGAGACACGAAUCCAGACCCUACGGGGUGCAGCAGGCGCGAAAACUUGGCAAUGCGAGAAAUCGUGACCAGGGAACUCCAAGUGCAUCGGGUAAGACCGGUGCUUUUCUUGACUCUAAAUAGGUCUUGGAAUAAGGGGUGGGUAAGGACGGUGCCAGCCGCCGCGGUAAUACCGGCGCCUCAAGUGGUAGUCGCUUUUAUUGGGCCUAAAACGUCCGUAGCCGGUCUGAUACAUUCGUGGGUAAAUCAACCAGCUCAACUGGUUGAAUUCUGCGAGGACGGUCAGACUUGGGACCGGGAGAGGUGUGGGGUACGCUCAGGGUAGGGGUAAAAUCCUGUCAUCCUGAGCGGACCACCUGUUGCGAAGGCGCCACACUAGAACGGAUCCGACGGUCAGGGACGAAGCCUAGGGCACGAACCGGAUUAGAUACCCGGGUAGUCCUAGGUGUAAACGCUGUGGACUUGAU
This 765-nucleotide ribosomal RNA is filed under the name uncultured Candidatus Poseidoniales archaeon. Its description in RNAcentral is "bacterial SSU rRNA". It matches the Rfam family "Archaeal small subunit ribosomal RNA", at positions 1 to 772 of the family's 1478-position model. Lineage: Archaea; Methanobacteriati; Thermoplasmatota; Candidatus Poseidoniia; Candidatus Poseidoniales. The record is from RNAcentral.